RNAcentral lists this long non-coding RNA (212 nucleotides) under Salvia miltiorrhiza (redroot sage). RNAcentral's name for it is "long non-coding RNA (SMIL_LNC003736)". Lineage: Eukaryota; Viridiplantae; Streptophyta; Magnoliopsida; Lamiales; Lamiaceae. The record is from RNAcentral.
AAGAAGCUGGGAAUAUUGUACUCAUCAAGAUGUGAAUUCGAACAAAGUUGUUAUCUUGUAGACGAUUUUAUAUCCUCGCAUCCAUCACAGUAUUAUGAUGGUCACUUGGAAAAUCUUAAACAUCUGCAUCAGCUUGAAGAACUGAAGGUGCAGGUGUAUCCAGGAAUUAAAGGGAUGUCUAAUCCUAUUUUUCCUCAGUCGUUGAAAAAGUU